This 946-nucleotide ribosomal RNA is filed under the name Scinax sp. KAV36. RNAcentral describes it as "partial 16S large subunit ribosomal RNA". The stretch from base 166 to 946 matches the Rfam family "Bacterial large subunit ribosomal RNA", at positions 568 to 1967 of the family's 2925-position model. The record is from RNAcentral. Lineage: Eukaryota; Metazoa; Chordata; Amphibia; Anura; Hylidae.
GCCAAAAACCUAGCUCUACUCAUCCCUAUGCAAUCCUUCCACCUCACACCUAAAACUAAAACAUUUUAACACUUUAGUAAAGGAGAUUGAAAAAUUUAUUGAAGCUAUAUAACCAGUACCGUAAGGGAAAGAUGAAAUAUGAAUGAAAAAUCUUUAAGCAAAAUAAAGUAGAGCUUUUCUCUCGUACCUUUUGCAUCAUGGUUCAACUAGUCUAACCAAGCAAAAAGCAUUAUAGUUUGACACCCCGAAACUAGGCGAGCUACUUCGAGGCAGCUUUAUAGAGCUAACCCGUCUCUGUGGCAAAAGAGUGGGAAGACCACCAAGUAGCGGCGACAAACCAACCGAGCCUAGUGAUAGCUGGUUACUCAAGAAAAGGAUUUAAGUCCAACCUAAAGUCCUCCAUUUAUACCAAAAAUACCCUGACUUUAGAGCAAAUCAAAUAAGGUACAGCCUAUUUGAAACAGGAUACAACCUCACCUGAUGGCUAAAAAUUUAUCUUCAACUUUAAGUUGGCCUAAAAGCAGCCAUCUUUCAAAAAGCGUCACAGCUUAGUCUUUAACUACCUUCAAUUCCAUAACCACAUUUUAACCCUCUUUCAAUACUGAGUAAUUCUAUACUAUUAUAGAAGAUUUUAUGUUGAAACUAGUAACAAGAAGUCAGACCUUCUCUUAAAUGCAAGCAUAAAUCAGAAAGGACUAACCACUGAUAAUUAACGUCAAUGACCACUAAUCAGCAACCUCCAAAGAAAAAUCUUAUUACCAUAAACGUUAACCUGACACAAGAGCAUUUCAAGAAAGAUUUAAAGAAAGAGAAGGAACUCGGCAAACAUUAACCCCGCCUGUUUACCAAAAACAUCGCCUCUUGAACAAAAAUAAGAGGUCCAGCCUGCCCAGUGACUAAUGUUCAACGGCCGCGGUAUCCUAACCGUGCAAAGGUAGCGUAAUCA